AGAGUUUGAUCCUGGCUCAGGACGAACGCUGGCGGCGUGCUUAACACAUGCAAGUCGAACGGACUCCAUGCAGUAGCAAUACUGCGGAAGAGUUAGUGGCGAACGGGUGAGUAUCACGUGAGAAACCAACCCCGGUCUCUGGGAUAACAGGUGGAAACACCUGCUAAUACCGGAUGCCGUCGUUUCCUCGCAUGGGGAGAUGACGAAAGGGCUACCGGAUCGGGACGGUCUCGCGGCCUAUCAGCUUGUUGGGGAGGUAACGGCUCACCAAGGCUUCGACGGGUAGCUGGUCUGAGAGGAUGAUCAGCCACACUGGGACUGAGACACGGCCCAGACUCCUACGGGAGGCAGCAGUGGGGAAUCUUGCGCAAUGGGCGAAAGCCUGACGCAGCAACGCCGCGUGCGGGAUGAAGGCCUUCGGGUUGUAAACCGCUUUUACCAGGAAGGAAAAUGACAGUACCUGGAGAAUAAGGUGCGGCCAACUACGUGCCAGCAGCCGCGGUGACACGUAGGCACCAAGCGUUGUCCGGAUUUAUUGGGCGUAAAGAGCUCGUAGGCGGUUCAGUAAGUCGGGUGUGAAAACUCUGGGCUUAACCCAGAGACGCCACCCGAUACUGCUGUGACUUGAGUCCGGUAGGGGAGUGGGGAAUUCCUGGUGUAGCGGUGAAAUGCGCAGAUAUCAGGAGGAACACCAAUGGCGAAGGCACCACUCUGGGCCGAGACUGACGCUGAGGAGCGAAAGCGUGGGUAGCAAACAGGAUUAGAUACCCUGGUAGUCCACGCCGUAAACGGUGGGCACUAGGUGUGGGUUCCAACCAACGGAAUCCGCGCCGUCGCUAACGCAUUAAGUGCCCCGCCUGGGGAGUACGGCCGCAAGGUUAAAACUCAAAGGAAUUGACG
Molecule: ribosomal RNA, 900 nt
Filed under: uncultured Actinomycetes bacterium
Lineage: Bacteria; Bacillati; Actinomycetota; Actinomycetes
Description: bacterial SSU rRNA
Rfam family: Bacterial small subunit ribosomal RNA
Source: RNAcentral